GACGAACGCUGGCGGCGGGCUUAACACAUGCAAGUCGAACGGAAAGACACUGCUAGUUUGGUGUUCUCGAGGGGCGAACGGGUGAGGAACACGUGAGUAACCGGCCCUUGACUUUGGGAUAGCUUCAGGAAAGUGGGGCUAAGAUCGUAUAGGAUCUCCUCUUGCAGGGAGAGGGGGGGAAAUUCGCGGCUGUUGGGGAUGGACUCGCGGCUUAUCAGCUUGUUGGUUGGGUAGUUGCUUACCAAGGCUGUGAAGGGUAGCCGGCCUGAGAGGGUGGACGGCGACAUUGCGACUGAGAUACGGACCAGACUCGUACGGGAGGCAGCAGUGGGGAAUAUUGCACAAUGGGAGGACGUCUGAUGAAGCAACGCCGCGUGCGUGAUGACGGCUUUCGGGUUGUAAACCGCUUUAGCCUGUGACGACGCGUGAGUGACGGUAAUGGGUAAAGAAGCACCGGCUAACUACGUG
This 468-nucleotide ribosomal RNA is filed under the name uncultured bacterium. RNAcentral's name for it is "partial 16S ribosomal RNA". It matches the Rfam family "Bacterial small subunit ribosomal RNA", at positions 28 to 507 of the family's 1533-position model. The record is from RNAcentral.